Felis catus (domestic cat) is the source of this 1661-nucleotide long non-coding RNA. RefSeq lists it as uncharacterized. The transcript is spliced from 3 exons. The record is from RefSeq and is a predicted model, not a curated record. Lineage: Eukaryota; Metazoa; Chordata; Mammalia; Carnivora; Felidae.
UCGAUGCUUGUUUUUGGCUCAGUUCGUGAUCCCAGGGUGGGAUCCAACCCCGUGUCAGGAUCCGUGCUGAUCAUGGAGCCUACUUAGGAUUUUCUCUCUCUCUGUCUCUCUCUCUCUCAAAUAAAAACUAAAUAAAAUAAAAACACCUAGGACAUCGAUGGUUUUGGCAAAUAGCACUUUUAUCCAAAAUAGGAGAUGAGUGGCUUCUCUUAUGUCUCUAUACACUAUUAUUCUGGUGCUUUCUGUGACCCACGUUCCUCUCCAUCUAUAAAUCAGAACCUAAGCUACACGCAGCACCCGAGGAAGAGGCACUCAAAGAAUAACACGUUAACAUUUGUCCUCUCUACAUAAUCACAAGUAGUGUGAAUAUUCUUCAAGCUAGAACCAGAAAGAUAUUGUGCCGAAAGCUUCUUGAAGAACUUUACAGUUCAGAGUCACGUUUAAUUGCUGAGAUGGGACCUGCGUGGCCAUUGGGUAAAUAUACCACAUCUUCUUUACCCGUUCACCUAGCGCUGAACACUUAGGUUCCUUCCAUAUGGUGGUUUUUGUAAAUACUCGUAGGAGGGCUGACUGCACUGAUUCCGUCUUUGGCCCUUCAUCUUGUUCACACCCCAGCAAGGACUUCCCUCAGGGCUGUGAAUUUCAGGCCCCAUGGAGGUGAAUACAUGUCCUGGUGAGAAUGUGGAGGGCUUGUUCUGAUCGUCCCUAAAGUGGUACACAGAAGGCACCAGUUUAGAUAAGUAGUGGAGAUGACUGGCCCACAGAAGGGUUUACUUUAGAUAACUAGUAGAGCUCUUUGGGCUCACAGAUGGUACCACCUUAGAUAACUACCUUGUGACCUCACCACCCGUGCGCUUCGCUCCAUAAAACCUGACAAUUAAGGUACGGACAGGGUGAAGAAAGGCCCAGAGAAGAGCUGCCGAGAAGGGUCUCCGCGGACCUGGAUCAUUGUCUACUGUCAAGUUUUUAGCUUGAAAUUUUCCUCUAUCGUCAAGUUUCUCUGUGGCUGCAAAAUGAUUGGUUCCUUGGACAAGGCAUACGAAUCCUUCAGGAAGAUGAUUUCCCGAGAGUUACCUAUUCCUAAUACCUAAAGAAUACUCUGAACAAAACAGAUAACUGCAAGUACAGAUCAGUCCCCCUAGGAUUAGUAUUCUGUGAUCCUCACUGCUCCAUCCAAGUGGACUUAAGUUUGUCAAGCAGCUUGUGUGAGUGCAACGAUUCAAAUGCAUCCUGUUAAAGAGCCACGGGUGAUUAGAUCAUAAAUCUGAAUGACCUUGAAGAUGAUGAAGGAAAUGCUUCUCUGUAAAGCGAUCAUCAUGCUGCCAGUUUCAUCAUUUACACAUUUUUACAGGUGCAGGGAAAAUGUUUAAUUUCAGAUAGCUUGCAAGAAUCACUCAGAAUAAAAUAUUCCUUUAUAAGAUCCCCAGAUAAUAAAGCAAAUGAACUAACUGCACUCCUCAAGAAUAUGUAUUUUUUUUUGUUUCUAUUUUUGCUCCUCAAAUAAGAAAAGGGCAAAAAAUUAGGGGGAGGAUUAUAAUUGCGUGACCUCAACCAUAAGCUUACUCUAGGAUUCUAGCUUCGGUUUCAUUGUGUUUAAAUAUUGCUAAUGACACAUUAACUCAUUGCCCCUUGCUGCAAAUUAUUAACUAAUUGUGAGUAAU